GAUGAACGCUGGCGGCGUGCCUAAUACAUGCAAGUCGAACGCAUUGUGGUUGAAAUGAUAUGAAGAACUUGUUCAGAUUUGAUUUUCAACAUUGCAAUGAGUGGCGAACGGGUGAGUAACACGUGGGAAACCUACCUCUUAGCAGGGGAUAACAUUUGGAAACAAAUGCUAAUACCGUAUAAUAAUUAAAACCGCAUGGUUUUAGUUUAAAAGAUGGUCUUGCUAUCACUAAGAGAUGGUCCCGCGGUGUAUUAGUUAGUUGGUGAGGUAAUGGCUCACCAAGACAAUGAUACAUAGCCGAGUUGAGAGACUGACCGGCCACAAUGGGACUGAGACACGGCCCAUACUCCUACGGAGGCAGCAGUAGG
RNAcentral lists this ribosomal RNA (368 nucleotides) under uncultured bacterium. RNAcentral's name for it is "bacterial SSU rRNA". It matches the Rfam family "Bacterial small subunit ribosomal RNA", at positions 28 to 358 of the family's 1533-position model. The record is from RNAcentral.